UGGCAACAUCAUGCUGGAACACCAAUUCUCAUACGAUCACCAAUGUUAAGCAACACUGAGCUUGGUCAGUACCUAGAUGGGUGACCACUUAAGCAUACCAGUUGCUGCAAG
Molecule: non-coding RNA, 111 nt
Organism: Acanthosepion pharaonis
Lineage: Eukaryota; Metazoa; Mollusca; Cephalopoda; Sepiida; Sepiidae
Source: the annotation of a GenBank genome assembly